UACGUAGGUGGCAAGCGUUAUCCGGAUUUAUUGGGUGUAAAGGGCGUGUAGGCGGGAAUGCAAGUCAGGUGUGAAAACUAUGGGCUCAACCCAUAGCCUGCAUUUGAAACUGUAUUUCUUGAGUGCUGGAGAGGCAAUCGGAAUUCCGUGUGUAGCGGUGAAAUGCGUAGAUAUACGGAGGAACACCAGUGGCGAAGGCGGAUUGCUGGACAGUAACUGACGCUGAGGCGCGAAAGCGUGGGGAGCAAACAGG
Molecule: ribosomal RNA, 253 nt
Filed under: uncultured bacterium
Lineage: Bacteria
Description: partial 16S ribosomal RNA
Rfam family: Bacterial small subunit ribosomal RNA
Source: RNAcentral